RNAcentral lists this non-coding RNA (26 nucleotides) under Rattus norvegicus (Norway rat). The record is from RNAcentral. Lineage: Eukaryota; Metazoa; Chordata; Mammalia; Rodentia; Muridae.
UCCUAUUCAGGAAGCACUCUUUCAAC